RNAcentral lists this ribosomal RNA (497 nucleotides) under uncultured bacterium. RNAcentral's name for it is "partial 16S ribosomal RNA". It matches the Rfam family "Bacterial small subunit ribosomal RNA", at positions 28 to 507 of the family's 1533-position model. The record is from RNAcentral.
GAUGAACGCUGGCGGUGUGCCUAAUACAUGCAAGUCGAGCGAACAGACGAGGAGCUUGCUCCUCUGACGGUAGCGGCUGACGGGUGAGUAACACGUGGAUAACCUACCUAUAAGACUGGGAUAACUUCGGGAAACCGGAGCUAAUACCGGAUAAUAUAUUGAACUGCAUGGUGCAAUAGUGAAAGACGGUUUUGCUGUCACUUAUAGAUGGAUCCGCGCCGCAUUAGCUAGUUGGUAAGGUAACGGCUUACCAAGGCAACGAUGCGUAGCCGACAUGAGAGUGUGAUCGGCCACACUGGAACUGAGACCCGGUCCAGACUCCUACGGGAGGCAGCAAUAGGGAAUCUUCCGCAAUUGGCGAAAACCUGACGGAGCAACGCCGCUUGAGUGAUGAAGGUCUUCGGUUCGUAAAACUCUGUUAUUAGGGAAGAACAAAUGUGUAAGUAACUAUGCACGUCUUGACGGUACCUAAUCAGAUAGCCACGGCUAACUACGUG